GGGAGUGUCACUCAGUGGUAGAGCAUAUGCUUAGCAUGUGUGAGACCCUGGGUUCAAUCCCCAACACGACCA
RNAcentral lists this transfer RNA (72 nucleotides) under Marmota monax (woodchuck). It matches the Rfam family "tRNA". From Rfam's summary of the family: Transfer RNA (tRNA) molecules are approximately 80 nucleotides in length. Their secondary structure includes four short double-helical elements and three loops (D, anti-codon, and T loops). Further hydrogen bonds mediate the characteristic L-shaped molecular structure. tRNAs have two regions of fundamental functional importance: the anti-codon, which is responsible for specific mRNA codon recognition, and the 3' end, to which the tRNAs corresponding amino acid is attached (by aminoacyl-tRNA synthetases). tRNAs cope with the degeneracy of the genetic code in two manners: having more than one tRNA (with a specific anti-codon) for a particular amino acid; and 'wobble' base-pairing, i.e. permitting non-standard base-pairing at the 3rd anti-codon position. The record is from Rfam by way of RNAcentral. RNAcentral also lists the same sequence under 3 other names. Lineage: Eukaryota; Metazoa; Chordata; Mammalia; Rodentia; Sciuridae.